Molecule: ribosomal RNA, 374 nt
Filed under: uncultured organism
Description: partial 16S ribosomal RNA
Rfam family: Bacterial small subunit ribosomal RNA
Source: RNAcentral
GUAGGUGGCAAGCGUUGUCCGGAAUUAUUGGGCGUAAAGCGCGCGCAGGCGGUUCUUUAAGUCUGAUGUGAAAGCCCACGGCUCAACCGUGGAGGGUCAUUGGAAACUGGAGAACUUGAGUACAGAAGAGGAAAGCGGAAUUCCACGUGUAGCGGUGAAAUGCGUAGAGAUGUGGAGGAACACCAGUGGCGAAGGCGGCUUUCUGGUCUGUAGCUGACGCUGAGGCGCGAAAGCGUGGGGAGCAAACAGGGAUUAGAUACCCUGGUAGUCCACGCCGUAAACGAUGAGUGCUAAGUGUUAGGGGGGUUUCCGCCCCCUUAGUGCUGCAGCUAACGCAUUAAGCACUCCGCCUGGGGAGUACGGCCGCAAGGCUG